Molecule: ribosomal RNA, 484 nt
Filed under: uncultured bacterium
Lineage: Bacteria
Description: partial 16S ribosomal RNA
Rfam family: Bacterial small subunit ribosomal RNA
Source: RNAcentral
AUUGAACGCUGGCGGCAGGCCUAACACAUGCAAGUCGAGCGGAUGAAGGGAGCUUGCUCCUGGAUUCAGCGGCGGACGGGUGAGUAAUGCCUAGGAAUCUGCCUGGUAGUGGGGGAUAACGUCCGGAAACGGGCGCUAAUACCGCAUACGUCCUGAGGGAGAAAGUGGGGGAUCUUCGGACCUCACGCUAUCAGAUGAGCCUAGGUCGGAUUAGCUAGUUGGGGGGGUAAAGGCCUACCAAGGCGACGAUCCGUAACUGGUCUGAGAGGAUGAUCAGGCACACUGGAACUGAGACACGGUCCAGACUCCUACGGGAGGCAGCAGUGGGGAAUAGUGGACAAUGGGCGAAAGCCUGAUCCAGCCAUGCCGCGUGUGUGAAGAAGGUCUUCGGAUUGUAAAGCACGUUAAGUUGGGAGGAAGGGCAGUAAGUUAAUACCUGGCUGUUUUGACGUUACCAACAGAAUAAGCACCGGCUAACUUCGUG